Molecule: unclassified non-coding RNA, 232 nt
Filed under: Hevea brasiliensis (rubber tree)
Lineage: Eukaryota; Viridiplantae; Streptophyta; Magnoliopsida; Malpighiales; Euphorbiaceae
Source: RNAcentral
ACUUACACAACUUGGCAAAACAUAAAUAUACCAUUGAUAUACCAAAAGUCUGCUAGUUCACAAAUAAAUAGAUCCCAAAGACCAACUAAAGACAACCAAAACUCAGGCCCUCAAACAUAUAAUCAGGCCAGAAAUCCAAGCAGUUCACCAGAUCAUUUAACUUAAUAAAACCAAACAAGAUAAAUGCCAACUUCCCUCACCUUAGUCGACCUCCUCAAUCUUAGGACCAGCA